AUUGAACGCUGGCGGCAUGCUUUACACAUGCCAGUCGGACGGCAGCACAGAGAAGCUUGCUUCUUGGGUGGCGAGUGGCGAACGGGUGAGUAACAUAUCGGAACGUACCGAGCAGUGGGGGAUAACUAAUCGAAAGAUUAGCUAAUACCGCAUAUUUUCUGAGGAAGAAAGCCGGGGACCUUUGGGCCUUGCGCUGUUUGAGCGGCCGAUAUCUGAUUAGCUAGUUGGUGGGGUAAAGGCCUACCAAGGCGACGAUCAGUAGCGGGUCUGAGAGGAUGAUCCGCCACACUGGGACUGAGACACGGCCCAGACUCCUACGGGAGGCAGCAGUGGGGAAUUUUGGACAAUGGGCGCAAGCCUGAUCCAGCCAUGCCGCGUGUCUGAAGAAGGCCUUCGGGUUGUAAAGGACUUUUGUCAGGGAAGAAAAGGGCGGGGUUAAUACCCCUGUCUGAUGACGGUACCUGAAGAAUAAGCACCGGCUAACUACGUG
Molecule: ribosomal RNA, 490 nt
Filed under: uncultured bacterium
Lineage: Bacteria
Description: partial 16S ribosomal RNA
Rfam family: Bacterial small subunit ribosomal RNA
Source: RNAcentral